GACGAACGCUGGCGGCGUGCUUAACACAUGCAAGUCGAACGAAGUGGCGAACGGGUGAGUAAUACGUGGGUAACCUGCCUUAGACAUUGGGUUAGCCUCGGGAAACCGGGAUUAAUACCAAAUGGUCUAAGAUGGACUAGCGUCCAAUUGGCUCGUGGGUGGGGUUAUGGCAUCCCAAGGCGGUGCCGGGUAGCCGGCCUGAGAGGGUACACGGCCACAUUGGGACUGAGAUAAGGCCCAGAGUCGUAAGCGGGGCAGCAGUGGGGGAUAUGGCACAAUGGGCGAAAGACUGAUGCAGCGAGACCGCGUGGGGGAUGCAGGCUUUCGGGUUGUAAACCUCGUUCGCUAUCGACGGGGUAGGUGGAGAAGAAGCCCCGGCUAACUACGUGCCAGCAGCCGCGGUAAUAC
Molecule: ribosomal RNA, 408 nt
Filed under: uncultured bacterium
Lineage: Bacteria
Description: partial 16S ribosomal RNA
Rfam family: Bacterial small subunit ribosomal RNA
Source: RNAcentral